ACCAUCUUUAUUCUGAUGAUUUUAUUCGAAGUUAAUUGUCUAAUUUGUUUCAGAAAGAGAGUCAAUAUCCUCUGAAUGCCAGAAGUCAUAACCUCGCCUCACUUCCUUUUGGGGACCUAGAUAACUUGUUCAGUGGUGUAAUGCAAGGCCUGUUUGGUUAAAUGGCAAUUUUGUAAUGCUUAUGGAGAACUUAUCCCCGUGUCUAAAUGGAA
This 212-nucleotide long non-coding RNA is filed under the name Nicotiana benthamiana. RNAcentral describes it as "long non-coding RNA (NBEN_LNC000399)". Lineage: Eukaryota; Viridiplantae; Streptophyta; Magnoliopsida; Solanales; Solanaceae. The record is from RNAcentral.